Long non-coding RNA from Camponotus floridanus (Florida carpenter ant), 234 nucleotides. RefSeq lists it as uncharacterized. Lineage: Eukaryota; Metazoa; Arthropoda; Insecta; Hymenoptera; Formicidae. The record is from RefSeq and is a predicted model, not a curated record. The transcript is spliced from 3 exons.
AAAUUAUAUAUAUACAAUAUAAUAAACAAAAUGUCAGGAACAUUUUUAAUACUUGCUGGACAAAGAUCUGCAUAUAAAUGGCUUAAACAUUGUCGUAUAUCAUAUUUAUAUAAGGAUGUAAGGAUUAAAGACUCACGUGUUCAUAGUAUAGCACAAUACUGUAUUUCUGUGAAAGAUAAAGAUGACUUAUCUAAGGUAAAGGACUUUAAAUAUGAAAAUGUAGCAAAUGCAAAC